AGAGUACGUGAGGAACAAGAACAUAGGAAAUUGUGUAAGAAUCGGUCAGUUCAUCGCACAAUUUAUAUGAUUCGUUUAACAAGAGCGGAUAGGUCCAAGUGAUUAACAUAUAGGAAUUUCAAAUUUCCCAACAGAUUUUGUUAAAUCUUGGAAGCAAAGAAACUGGAAAAGAACUAAAGAAGUCCGCAGACAUAUUUGAACAUGGUUGAUGGAAACUAAAGAGAACAUCCUCAAAGACCUUGAAGGAGAAGAAGAAGAAGACAGGCCUUCACACAAUCACACCCCAGGAACCACAUCAAGACACAAGAACCUCAUCAUAAACUCGAACGGCAGGGGGAAUUUGUCAUGAGGCUCUUCACAUAUCUUUUCUACUUGCACCUAGUCUUGAUCUCCUUCUUGAUAAUCUUUCUGACAGCUUGCAGUCUUAUUUCCACCAAUCACAAGCACCAUUUCCACCCACUAAAGUUCUAUGCUCCACUCCUCUCUUCAACACUCUGCUCUGCAGUUGUCGCUUUGAUAUGGCAAUGGAUCAUCAGGUUAAGCCCUUCUAAAGCUAUUAAAACAGCCUUUUGGCUCAGCCAUUUGCUGAUCUGUGCAGUCGGUGUACUACUCAUAUACAUAAGUUCUGCUGAGAGUUUGGCCGCAGGAGGGGUUGCAAUCAUCUGUGCACUCAUUCAAUCGCUUUAUGCCUGCUGGGUCAGUCCCCGUAUCGAAUUCGCCAUGAGGAUAUUAUCAGUUUCUACAGCUGUCCCUCCGAAAUUCACAGCAUUACUCGUUCAAUCAAUUUUCACCUGUAUCCUCUACCUCUCUUUCUUGGUAUCCGGCAUCGGAGGAGCCACUGCCCUAAGUAGCAGUUUCAGUGUCUUGUUUAUCUCAAUUAUCUUGCUAAGCAUGGCAUGGACUAUGCAUGUCAUUAAGAACCUGCUGCAAGUCACAGUUUCACGCAUCAAGUACAUGCACUUUGCGUGCGGAGCAGAUGUUGAUACAAAUGAGGCUUUCUGCAACACACUUAAACAUUCAAUGGGGAGUAUCUGCAUUGGCUCCAUCUUGGUUCCAGUUCUGGGGGUUAUUCGGGGCUCAGCCAGAGGCAUGAAAUCGGUUGCAGGGGAUACAGACGAGUUUCUCUUUUCCUGUGCCAACUGCUAUUCAGGACUGGCUGCAACUCUGGUAAUGUAUGGAAAUCGCUGGGGUUUUGUGCAUGUUGGGGUAUAUAACAAGGGGUUUGUGCAGGCAUCAGCUGGUACAUGGGAGAUGUUCAGGAAUAUAGAACUACAAGAAAUAAUCGACUUAGAUCUCACAUCGUCGUUCUGUUUUCUUUCUGGGGUGGCAGGAGGUGCAAUAUGUAGCCUGGUCAGUGGAACUUAGACUCUGUCAAUUCAUAAGAGUUAUGCUACUGAAGUCUCCUUAUAUGCCUUCUUGAUUGGCUAUUUCAUGUGCAGGAUUGCUAUGGCAUGGCCGCAAGCAUGUGUCUUGUCUUACUAUGUAGCUUAUGCUGAGAACCCUAACAGCACGCGGUUCGACUCAACCAUUCCUCUUCGCAUUGAAGAGCUUCAGAGAUUUCAAGCUUAA
RNA transcript from Fragaria vesca subsp. vesca, 1569 nucleotides. It is a transcript of the gene named CTL-like protein DDB_G0274487-like, with no coding region annotated. The record is from RefSeq and is a predicted model, not a curated record. The transcript has 3 exons. NCBI's taxonomy places the organism in Eukaryota, Viridiplantae, Streptophyta, Magnoliopsida, Rosales, Rosaceae.